AAAUCACUGCUUAUGAAAUCUACUGUGUUAUCUAAUAGCACCAAACUAAUAGAGCUAUCACAUAACUGAGAAACUUGUGUGGCUUAUUACAAAUGGAUGAAACCACAUUUUACCUUAAUGAAGACAGUAAUAUUUAAUAAGGUGUAGAAAAAAGAGGUGAGUUGUUUGUUGCUGUGGUAAACAAAGAAGUGUACUGAAUCUUUUGGACUACACAGAGUGAUGCAGUAUUGACUCUGAUGCUGAUUUGAGUUGUCUCAUUCUGUAUUUUUGUGCUUUGUCUUUUGUUACACAGAGUGAACGAGAUCUUUGGUUUUGCCUUUGCUGACUGCUGAUCUGAUCGUCUCAAGUCUGAGGCUGCCCUGAGAACCCAGACUUCCUGUUUCCUGACUGCUGCAGAACAUCCAGCUGAAGAAUCUUCAUCGCCUGUCAUCUGAUCACCACACCAUCACUCAUAUUUGCUUAAAGUAUUAGAUAUCUUAAAGAUUUACACAAAGUCUACUUAAAAGUUAAGAGUUUUAUUAUAGACUGUUGAUUGUUGAGAUUUAUUCUGUAUAUUGCUUUACAGAAGUAUAGACCUAUUUGUUAUCCAGUCUGGUUAAAAAAAAUAGAAGUAACAAUAUACAGUUUUUGAAAAAGC
This is a long non-coding RNA of Oreochromis aureus, 637 nucleotides long. The record is from Ensembl. Lineage: Eukaryota; Metazoa; Chordata; Actinopteri; Cichliformes; Cichlidae.